Molecule: ribosomal RNA, 467 nt
Filed under: uncultured bacterium
Lineage: Bacteria
Description: partial 16S ribosomal RNA
Rfam family: Bacterial small subunit ribosomal RNA
Source: RNAcentral
AACGAACGCUGGCGGCAUGCCUAACACAUGCAAGUCGAACGACACCUUCGGAUCUAGUUGCGCACGGGUGCGUAACGCGUGGGAACCUUCCCUUAGGUUCCGAAUAACUCUCCUACGGGGGGGCUAACGCAGGGAAACUUCUGCGAACAAAGCAUUCGUCCCCUUGGUGUGGGCCGGGGUUCUUAAGACCGUUCGCUAUGGGAAGAGCCGACGACGGAUUCGCUCGUUGGCAGGGUAAAGGGCUACCAAGGCGACGAUGCGUAGCUGGUCUGAGAGGAUGAGCAGCCACACUGGGACUGAGACACGGCGCAGACUCCUACGGGAGGCAGCAGUGGGGAAUAUUGCACAAUGGGGGAGAGCCUGAUCGAGUACUGGCGGGUGAGUGAUGAAGUCGUUAGAGUUGUAAAGCUCUUUUACCCGGGAUGAUAAUGACAGUACCGGGAGAAUAAGCACCGGCUAACUCCGUG